AGUAGCAAUACUCAGAUGGCGACCGGCGCACGGGUGAGUAACACGUAUCCAACCUGCCGCUUACUCGGGGAUAGCCUUUCGAAAGAAAGAUUAAUACCCGAUGGUAUAAAGAGUUCGCAUGUUCUCUUUAUUAAAGAAUUUCGGUAAGCGAUGGGGAUGCGUUCCAUUAGAUAGUUGGCGGGGUAACGGCCCACCAAGUCUACGAUGGAUAGGGGUUCUGAGAGGAAGGUCCCCCCACAUUGGAACUGAGACACGGUCCAAACUCCUACGGGAGGCAGCAGUGAGGAAUAUUGGUCAAUGGACGAGAGUCUGAACCAGACCCAAGUAGCGUGAAGGAUGACUGCCCUAAGGGUUGUAAACUUCUUUUAUAAGGGAAUAAGUGAGGGACGUGUCCCUUUUUGUAUGUACCUUAUGAAUAAGGAUCGGCUAACUCCGUGCCAGCCGCCGC
This 448-nucleotide ribosomal RNA is filed under the name uncultured bacterium. Its description in RNAcentral is "bacterial SSU rRNA". It matches the Rfam family "Bacterial small subunit ribosomal RNA", at positions 75 to 518 of the family's 1533-position model. The record is from RNAcentral.